AUGACUCAUAGCAUAGAGUUUGAGCAAGGAAGGUUUGCAGGGUCUACCCUUCAGGUGAUUGGCAUAACAGAGGGUUUGGAAAGUGGCCAGUGGUCCAUUGUCGGUGGGACUGGUCAGUUCAUUAUGGCACAGGGUAUAAUAAGUUUCACAAAUCAUCCUGCCUCUACUUGGGAAGAUGGUAUUAAAGAACUUAAUAUCCGUGUACGCUACACGACUCCACAACCUGUAAUACAGCUAUGGCUCCGGCUCUCAAUAACUUACCAAAGAUUGCUGAGACCAUCUGAGAUACAUGGCGUUUUAAGCCGGUUAAUUUGGCGGUUGUUUCUGAAAGAGCCGCCUCAGCCUUCUCAGCCCGGUUGA
RNAcentral lists this ribosomal RNA (360 nucleotides) under Triticum aestivum (bread wheat). Its description in RNAcentral is "partial small subunit ribosomal RNA". Lineage: Eukaryota; Viridiplantae; Streptophyta; Magnoliopsida; Poales; Poaceae. The record is from RNAcentral.